This is a non-coding RNA of Heligmosomoides polygyrus, 72 nucleotides long. The record is from Rfam. Lineage: Eukaryota; Metazoa; Nematoda; Chromadorea; Rhabditida; Heligmosomidae.
GCGCCGGUGGUGUAAGGCGAACAUCGCUGCCCGGAAAGCAGAAGAUGCGGGGUUCGAGUCCCGCCUGGCGCA